This 453-nucleotide ribosomal RNA is filed under the name uncultured bacterium. RNAcentral describes it as "bacterial SSU rRNA". It matches the Rfam family "Bacterial small subunit ribosomal RNA", at positions 29 to 527 of the family's 1533-position model. The record is from RNAcentral.
AGCGAACGCUGGCGGCAGGCUUAACACAUGCAAGUCGAGCGGGCGUAGCAAUACGUCAGCGGCAGACGGGUGAGUAACGCGUGGGAACAUACCUUUUGGUUCGGAACAACACAGGGAAACUUGUGCUAAUACCGGAUAAGCCCUUACGGGGAAAGAUUUAUCGCCGAAAGAUUGGCCCGCGUCUGAUUAGCUAGUUGGUGAGGUAACGGCUCACCAAGGCGACGAUCAGUAGCNGGUCUGAGAGGAUGAUCAGCCACAUUGGGACUGAGACACGGCCCAAACUCCUACGGGAGGCAGCAGUGGGGAAUAUUGGACAAUGGGCGCAAGCCUGAUCCAGCCAUGCCGCGUGAGUGAUGAAGGCCCUAGGGUUGUAAAGCUCUUUUGUGCGGGAAGAUAAUGACGGUACCGCAAGAUAAGCCCCGCUAACUUCGUGCCAGCAGCCGCCGCUGUAAG